UUCUUCCAGAAGGAAUAAUUUCUAUUAAUGUGACCUUGAGAGCAUGUCUUUCUGGAAAGGAUGGAUGAAUCAUUUAGAGAGAAUGGAAAGUUCUUUUCCCACUGAGCGCUAUUGAAGAGAGAAGGCAUUUUCUUCCUGAUGGAACAGUAUCUGUUGAAGUGACCUUGAGAGCAUGUCUUUCUGGAAAAGAUGGAUGAAUCAUUUAGAGAGAAUGAAAAGUUCUUUUCCCACUGAGAGCUAUUGAAGAAAGAAGGCAUCUUCUUCCUGAU
RNAcentral lists this long non-coding RNA (269 nucleotides) under Sarcophilus harrisii (Tasmanian devil). Its description in RNAcentral is "lncRNA (ENSSHAG00000030418.1)". Lineage: Eukaryota; Metazoa; Chordata; Mammalia; Dasyuromorphia; Dasyuridae. The record is from RNAcentral.